RNAcentral lists this ribosomal RNA (490 nucleotides) under uncultured bacterium. Its description in RNAcentral is "partial 16S ribosomal RNA". It matches the Rfam family "Bacterial small subunit ribosomal RNA", at positions 29 to 507 of the family's 1533-position model. The record is from RNAcentral.
AAUGAACGCUGGCGGCAUGCCUUACACAUGCAAGUCGAACGGCAGCAUGACCUAGCUUGCUAGGUUGAUGGCGAGUGGCGAACGGGUGAGUAAUGCAUCGGAACGUGCCUUUUAGUGGGGGAUAACGUAGCGAAAGUUACGCUAAUACCGCAUAUUCUCUGAGGAGGAAAGCAGGGGACCUUCGGGCCUUGCGCUAGAAGAGCGGCCGAUGUCGGAUUAGCUAGUUGGUGAGGUAAAGGCUCACCAAGGCAACGAUCCGUAGCGGGUCUGAGAGGAUGAUCCGCCACACUGGGACUGAGACACGGCCCAGACUCCUACGGGAGGCAGCAGUGGGGAAUUUUGGACAAUGGGCGCAAGCCUGAUCCAGCCAUGCCGCGUGAGUGAAGAAGGCCUUCGGGUUGUAAAGCUCUUUCGGCUGGGAAGAAAUCGCACCCUCUAAUACAGGGUGUGGAUGACGGUACCAGCAUAAGAAGCACCGUCUAACUACGUG